GGCAUCCUUAGCCUCCUUAGGUCUAAAUUAUGUCAUAAGUAUGUCCCUCCCUUUUUCAAAAUAGAGUUUCUACAUGUAUUUAUACCAAAUAGGGUAUAACCCAGAUAAAACACCUUUUCCUAUGUGAAAUAGGACUUUGGCUCUGUAAAAUUUGCAUAGGUGCGCCGCAUGGGGCGACGCACCAUGCGAUGUGCUUGUGGGGAAGUUCAGAGAGCUAAUUCUGACAGGCUGCAGGAAAUUUCCACAAGUGAGGCGCACCCCGUGCCGCAGUAGUGGAAAUUCACGAAAAUGCAAAACAUGAAAAAUGUAGGCCUUUCAAAUAGCUUUCCAAUGAUAUACUGUGAAGCAUCCCAAACGGAGUUAUGAACGAAAAGUUAUGUGCAUUUUACUACACAAUACACCGUGAGCCCGCUCGAUUCUUUGUUUCGUUCUUAACUAUCAUCUACUGAUUCCCGAACACGAUCCCCGCUUGAUUCCUUGGGCUUUUACUCAGACUUCAAAGCUCCAAAUCACUUGAAUCCAUUCCAUAAUAUCGACAUAGCUUGGAAUUACUCCUACAAAGCAUAAAAUACACGAUUAAUGUAAAACACUAGCGAUUAAAGCUCAAACUUAAUUAAGGUACAAUUAAUAAGAGAGUAAUAAGCGACUAAAAUACGUAAUUAUAGCCUAUCAUUAUUUAUGUAAAUUAAUUAUGAAAAUUAUUUUACUUUAUUUUGUAGUUGAAAAGUUAUUUAGUUUUGCCCUAUGUAAUUGAAAAGUCACUCCAUUAUUUUGAAGAUAUUAUUUGACAUUUUUCUUUUCAAUCCAACCAUUUUAAAAAAUUCAAAGCACCACUCAAACCAUUUAUCCUGCUGCUAAACCUUUCUUUAAAAAAGAAAUAAUAACAAAAAUCAUACUUCAUAAAACAAAUAAACGAAUAGACACUGCAUAAAUAUUCCUUAUCAUAUAUCAAUUGUGCACUACAAAAAUAUUCCUUUAAGAUAUGCUCAAACUAUAUUGAUACCUUUGAAGUAUUAAUGCCCAGCUUUUGCACAAGAGAGAAAUAUACUGGGAUUUAAUGCCUUCGGAAAGGUACCUACCAAUUCGUUCAUGUGAAGGCACAAAGCUAAUACGAAUAUUUUCACUGUCAAUCUCCUCAGGAAUAUCAAGUAAACCCGGGGGUAGACUUAAUUUCAAAGGAAAGAUAGAAGGGAUCAAUCAAUUUUCUGACAUAGAAAGUCGAAAUAAGGUAAAUCUAGGUUAUCGUGAUUUUUAGCCUUUCACCCAUAUUUGAGAGACAAUUCUUUCUAAGUGCAGGUUUUGGGCGUAGUAAUGUCCAAGAUUUUUUGGAUCUACUGGUCCAAGCCUUCAAUCAUAAGUGAAACCCAUCGAGUUGCUGAAGCAAACAAAGGAUGAAGGAUCAAUACGGAUAUGGAAAAAUCCGUAAUAAGAAAAAUAUGAAAUAUUAUACAAGAAGCUUACAAGUGAGGUUUCACGUUUCCGAAAAGGAUGAAGUCGUUGUCGAAACGAUGGCGUCGGUGGCAACUACAAUAAAUUGUUGUAUUCACCCACGGUCG
RNAcentral lists this long non-coding RNA (1556 nucleotides) under Nicotiana benthamiana. RNAcentral's name for it is "long non-coding RNA (NBEN_LNC023700)". The record is from RNAcentral. Lineage: Eukaryota; Viridiplantae; Streptophyta; Magnoliopsida; Solanales; Solanaceae.